UCCGGUUUGUCACCGGCAGUCCCAUUAGAGUGCUCAACUGAAUGUAGCAACUAAUGGCAAGGGUUGCGCUCGUUGCGGGACUUAACCCAACAUCUCACGACACGAGCUGACGACAGCCAUGCAGCACCUGUGUCCAGGUUCCCUUUCGGGCACCCCUGCAUUUCUGCAGGGUUCCUGGCAUGUCAAGGGUAGGUAAGGUGGGGAUGACGUGUCGUUACCUUA
This 222-nucleotide unclassified non-coding RNA is filed under the name uncultured Gammaproteobacteria bacterium. RNAcentral's name for it is "contains 16S-23S intergenic spacer region". The record is from RNAcentral. Lineage: Bacteria; Pseudomonadati; Pseudomonadota; Gammaproteobacteria.